Molecule: small nucleolar RNA, 100 nt
Organism: Lactuca sativa (garden lettuce)
Lineage: Eukaryota; Viridiplantae; Streptophyta; Magnoliopsida; Asterales; Asteraceae
Product: small nucleolar RNA Z122
Source: RefSeq, a predicted model, not a curated record
UUUGGGAGAUGAUGCUAAACGAUAUCGAAUUUUGUUAUCAUAGGCGCAGUUUUGUGCUCUGCUGAACGAAAUCUUAUUUGCACGUCAGUCUGAUCCUAAA